This 1165-nucleotide ribosomal RNA is filed under the name Ostreopsis sp. IshiOst61. Its description in RNAcentral is "eukaryotic LSU rRNA". It matches the Rfam family "Eukaryotic large subunit ribosomal RNA", at positions 92 to 1232 of the family's 3401-position model. RNAcentral also lists the same sequence under 1 other name. The record is from RNAcentral. Lineage: Eukaryota; Dinophyceae; Peridiniales; Ostreopsidaceae.
AAUGAACACAAAUUUGAUCACUUUGGCAAUCUGUACACAUUGCUGUGUAACAAUUUGUAUACGUUGGCACAGUGCUAUCAAAGCUGCAUGCAAGUGUUUUUUUGAAAGGAUACAACAUGGGAUGUGAUAUUCAUGUGUGUGUGCCUGCUUUGUCCACAGCCUGUGCUGUAUGAAUCACAUUUCUUGCAACUGAAAUGCUAAUGGCAUGGUAAAGUUCAUGUGACAUGACACAAGCUUGAGAUUCAUGAUGUGCAAGUACCAUGAGGGAAAUGUGAAAAGGACUUUGGAAAGAGAAUUAAAUAAAGCCUGCAUUUGCUGACAAUGAAAGCAAGUGUGGAUGUUCAUGUAAUUGUUACUGCAUCAAUCAAUGUUCAUCUUGGUUACUGCAUGCUUUAUAUUACAGCUCAAAACAUGAAGUGUGUGUAACAGCUCUGCUUUGAUUUUUCCCACAUGGGAUCAGUUGAAACAUUGUGAGAGCACUCUUCAGUUUCCUUAUGUACCCACCAGCUUUGUCCACUCGCGUGUUGGCACACAUGUAAUGAUGAUGUGUUUAUGCAAGAUACUUCUGUGCUCAACAACAUGUUGUGUCAAUCCUCACUUGACCCGUCUUGAAACACGGACCAAGGAGUCUGGCAAGUGUGCAAACCAACUUUCUGUAGAGAUUUGUAUGUAAUGAACAUGUUUGUAUCAUUAUUGCACCACCAAUCAAUAUUCAGCUCGUUGCUUAUUUGAAUGUGAGCAUUGUUGCUAGGACCCGAAAGAUGGUGAACUAUGCUUGCAUAACAUGAGUUCAGAGGAAACUCUGAUGGAAGUUUGUAUCGGUACUGACGUGCAAAUCGUUCGUCACAACUGGGUAUAGGGGCGAAAGAUUAAUCGAACCAUCUAGUAGUUGGUUCCUCCCGAAGUUUCCCUCAGGAUAGUUGGGAUUUGUUCACUUAUAUUAUUUAAAGCGAAUGUUUAAAGGAAUUGGGGGCUUGUUUGCCUUUGACCUAUUCUCAAACUUUUAAUGUGUAUUCAUGCCGCAAUAACACAGAGUAUUGCAUGCAAUGAAAAAAUCAAGUGGGCCAUUUUUGGUAAGCAGAACGGGCGAUGAGGGACGAACCUAAUAGUGGGUAAACAUGCUUAAUUUCCUGCCUAUGUGAUACCAGAAAGGGUGUUGGUUCAU